GGAAUCUGGGGCCCAGGCUCUUCCCCGCCUUGGACCACAGAGGGAGGCGAGAAAAGCCCGGCACCGGGUCACGCGUCUGGGCAGGAAGUGACGCACUGGCUCGGUGGCUUCCGCUGCAGACGGCCUGUACGCUCUCGGUUCCUGCCCUUCCUCCUCCUCCUCCCUCAAUCACGGCAGAAGCACACAGGACCUGCCGGGAAGCCACGGGCGCAACGAGAAGCAGCCUCGCGAGAUCCCACGAAGGCCAAGGGUGCAUCAGGUGAUGCUGAGAGAGGCCCAAGGGCGACCCCCACGGCCCACCCCCACCAUGAAGUCAGCCGGUGGAGGCGGGGUGGGGGCUGGAGGCAGAGCCAAGUUCUGGUGGCACUGCCGGUGAGGCGGAUUUUACAGCCUGGCCGAGUCUACCAUGCCCCCACGUGUGGAGCAGGUGCACACGGUGCGUCCUCUGGUCACAGUGGGCGGGCUGCAGCAUUUGACACUGGUGCAGCGUAGCCAUGGCAAACCGUCAGCAUAAAUAAUUUGGCAUAAGUAGAAUAUAAAUUAUUCCGAAGUGGCGAUCUCGUUUCCUUCUCUUGUCCUCCCUCGUGUGGGUCUCCCUGGACUCUCUGGCCCGGCUCCCACACAGGAUGGCGGGGGCAGACUCUGACACCACACAGUCCUCCAGAUGCGGGGCCCACAGUCCAGGACGCCGUCCCCUUGUGUGGGUCCCCGCCGUGCCCCGGAAGGGGCGACCUGCACAAACCUUCAUCAAACCUGCGUGCCCCGGUCAGUCUCAUCAGCAUUUGUGGCACAAAGACCGUGGCGAGGGAGUCGGAGGCGCGGGCGCUGCAGGACGAGGGCGUGCCUGCCCAAAGCCGGGCCUUGCGGUCACUCGGCACCUGCCGCGUGGGCGGCUGCCACGCUCCUCGCCCCACAGGCCUGGGUGCCUGGAAUCGGGGCUGCCACGCCUCUGUGCUGUCUGCUCCCAAGUCCUCCUUCCACGUGGACCCUGAGCGGUCCGGCCACCCAGAAGCACUUGCUUGCCGGAAAGUGCUGGCCGAGAGGAGGCUCGGGGAAGGCUGCUCUGGGGGACGUCUGUGCUCGGGUCCACGGAGCUGGAAUGUCAGGUGAUCAGUCCGGGACAGAGUGGGGGCCACGCCUCGCGUCCCACUGCUGCCCCCAGGUCUGGGCUACGAGGGCCUCAGAGCUUCUUUGGAGAGCCGAUCAUGACCUUGGACACAAAGUUGACAAUGGCGCUGGCUGGCUGCUCGGGGUCGUGCUCUGCGAACAGGUGGCACACGUUGUCCGUGGCGCUGCCCUGCUUCCGGGCCACGAAUCCAAAGACUCUGCAAAAAAGAGGCUCCAGGUCAGGGCGUCCGCCGUGCACGGGGCCCCAGGCGUCCCCCGCGCACAGGCCCCAGGUGUCCACCGUGCACAGGCCCCAGGUGUCCACCACGCACAGGGUCCCAGGCGUUCACCGUGCACAGGGUCCCAGGCGUCCACCGCGCACAGGCCCCAGGUGUCCACCGUGCACAGGCCCCAGGUGUCCACCACGCACAGGGUCCCAGGGUCCCAGGCGUUCACCGUGCACAGGGUCCCAGGCAUUCACCGUGCACAGGGUCCCAGGCGUCCACCGUGCACAGGCCCCAGGCGUCCCCUGCGCACAGGCCCCAGGCAUCCACUGCGCACAGGCCCCAGGCGUCCACCGCGCACAGGCCCCAGGCGUCCCCCGCGCACAGGCCCCAGGCGUCCACCAUGCACAGGCCCCAGGCGUCCACAGCGCACAGGCCCCAGGCGUCCACCGCGCACAGGCCCCAGGCUUCUGCUUCCUGCGACCACAGGCAGCACCACGGGAAGAAUGGCACGUCUACGCCUGCCAAGCACCGGGCGGCUACGUGUGCAGGUUCCGGACCUGCGGCUAAGCCUCAGAGCUGCCCUGCAGGUGAGGGCGUGGGAUGCUGAUGGAUGUGGCUGCCCCAGUCACACGCCAGCAGGGCCAGGAUCCUCAGAUCCCGAGGAGUGGGUGAAGCCCUGGGGAGGGGUCCGGGGCCUCUGGGAGAUGCUGACUCCACACGCACACCCCCCAGAGGGAAACACACAGGGUGUGUGUGGGUAUGCACGGGGUGCGUGUGUGGCUACACAUGGGGUGCGUGUGUGGCUACGCACGGGCACGGCUCGGGACCCUGCUGAAAGCACUGAGCCGCCACCACUGCAGGCUGUCCAAGCCCUCCACUGCACACAGCCACGCCCGCAGCCCAGGCCAGCCUUGUCCAUCUUCCUGGGAAACACGACAGGCGUGUUCCCUCCGCUCAGCGGCCCUGCAGGGACGGGGCCCAUGGCAUGCAGAAGCCCAAGCCCCUGCCGGGCAGAGGGGGCCGUGUCCGGGCUGGGGAGGCCCGGCACCGAGCAGAAACCCCAGCUAGGGACGCCCUGGAGUGGAAGGCGAGGGCGGCGUCCCCUCCUCCUGCCACGGGGCCUGGCGCACGCAGCGGAGUGGAGCAGCUUCCUCCGGAGAGGCCUCUCGGGCAGGCCAGGCACUCACUUGGAGGAGGUGGGGCUGUCCUUGAUCCACCUGGCAAGUUAA
This is a long non-coding RNA of Oryctolagus cuniculus (rabbit), 2563 nucleotides long. NCBI's taxonomy places the organism in Eukaryota, Metazoa, Chordata, Mammalia, Lagomorpha, Leporidae. The record is from Ensembl.